This 528-nucleotide ribosomal RNA is filed under the name uncultured bacterium. RNAcentral describes it as "bacterial SSU rRNA". It matches the Rfam family "Bacterial small subunit ribosomal RNA", at positions 338 to 885 of the family's 1533-position model. The record is from RNAcentral.
CCUACGGGAGGCAGCAGCAGGGAAUAUUGCACAAUGGACGGAAGUCUGAUGCAGCGACGCCGCGUGGACGAAGAAGGCCUUCGGGUUGUAAAGUCCUUUUCAGGGGGAAGAGGCAGGACGGUACCCCUGGAAUAAGCGUCGGCUAACUACGUGCCAGCAGCCGCGGUAAGACGUAGGACGCGAGCGUUAUCCGGAUUUACUGGGCGUAAAGCGUCUGUAGGCGGGCCAGUAAGUUGGACGUAAAAGCUCCGGGCUUAACCCGGAGAGGACGUACAAGACUGCUGAACUAGAGGCCACCAGAGGGGCGUGGAAUUUCCGGUGUAGCGGUAAAAUGCGCAGAUAUCGGAAGGAACACCAGUGGCGAAGGCGGCGCCCUGGGGUGGGCCUGACGCUAAGAGACGAAAGCUAGGGGAGCGAACAGGAUUAGAGACCCUGGUAGUCCUAGCCGUAAACGAUGGAUGCUAGGUGUGGGGCCGACAGGCUCCGUGCCGUAGCUAACGCGAUAAGCAUCCCGCCUGGGGAGUACGG